Acanthosepion pharaonis is the source of this 111-nucleotide non-coding RNA. The record is from the annotation of a GenBank genome assembly. Lineage: Eukaryota; Metazoa; Mollusca; Cephalopoda; Sepiida; Sepiidae.
ACGAUCAUAUCACGUUGAAACACCGGUUCUCGUACGAUGACCGAAGUCAAGCAACGUCGAGCAUGGCCAGUACAUAGAUGGGUGACCGCUUCAGAGUACCAAGUGCUGUAA